This is a long non-coding RNA of Canis lupus familiaris (dog), 833 nucleotides long. RefSeq lists it as uncharacterized. Lineage: Eukaryota; Metazoa; Chordata; Mammalia; Carnivora; Canidae. The record is from RefSeq and is a predicted model, not a curated record. The transcript has 4 exons.
AGCAUCUGUUCAGAAGAAUUACAAUGACAACUAAGGACUGAAGAACAUAAAUAGAGGACAGAAAAAAGGUAUUCCAGCUCUGGCGGAAGAGAAGAUGGACAUUCUAGCUCAGGUGGAAAGAGACAGAAGAAAGAUUUUGUUCUUCCUCCCCUUCUGCCUUUUUUUUCAGCCUCCAGUGGACUGGAGAUGCUUAUAUUGGUAAAGAAAGACCUUCUUCACUCAGUCUACUAGUACAAAUGCUUAUCUUUUUCACAAACGUUUUCACAGACACACCCAGAAGUAAUGUUUUACUGGCUACUCUUUUUUUUUAAGACUUUAUUUAUUUACUCAUGAAAGACACACAGAGAGUGGAAGAGACAUAGGCAGAGGGAGAAGCAGGCUCCCUACAAGUAGCCCAAUACGGGACUUGAUCCUGGACUUCGAGAUCACACCUCAUGCCAAAAGCAGACACUCAACCGCUGAGCCACCCAGGAGUCCCAAUUUGGACAUCCCUUAAUCCAGUCAAGUUAACACAUAAAAUUAAGCAUACAAGAACUUUUUCUGAGGCCUAUGUGAGGGGAGAAUGGGGAAGAUUAAAAGUUAAGAAAUUCAUCUUUGCCUUUCCUUGCUUGCCAAAUCAACUUGGGAAAAGAGGUCCUCCGGAUAAGCACAAAUCCACACAAAGGAGGCAUGCGUUUCUGCGUGUGUGUCACUGACAAGGACUCUUGCCCCCUCAAGAUAAUGGAGUGUUAAACUGACAGCAUUCAUCUAUCCCUCCCUGCAUUCUUCCGCCUAGGAAAUUCAAAGACUUAGGUAAAACAACACCAAGACAGAUUAGGAGACUAUCCUCUAGA